UCCAAUGUGGUGUAGUGGUUAACAUUGCUGUCUUUCAUUGAGGUUCCUCGCACAGCAGCCCGGGGUUCGAUUCCCCGCAUUGGAA
Lentinula detonsa is the source of this 85-nucleotide non-coding RNA. NCBI's taxonomy places the organism in Eukaryota, Fungi, Basidiomycota, Agaricomycetes, Agaricales, Omphalotaceae. The record is from the annotation of a GenBank genome assembly.